CCAGCACCCGCGGUAAUUCCAGCUCCAAUAGCGUAUAUUAAAGUUGUUGCUGUUAAAAAGCUCGUAGUUGGUUUUCUGGCGGGAUGAACACGCCCUCAGCUGAGUGUGCAUGAGCGUCUCACCAUCCUUCUGUUAACCCUUAAGGUUUUAACGACCUUCUGGGGGCUCAGAUAUUUUACCUUGAGAAAAUUAGAGUGUUUCAGGCAGGCUAGCGCCGGGAUACAUUAGCAUGGAACAAUGGAAUAGGACUUUUUCCUCUUCUGUUGGUCUGAGGGGUUCGAGUAAUGAUUAAUAGGGAUAGUUGGGGGCAUUAGUACUUUGCUGUCAGAGGUGAAAUUCUCGGAUUUGCAAAAGACUAACUUAUGCGAAAGCAUUUGCCAAGGAUGUUUUCAUCGAUCAAGAACGAAAGU
RNAcentral lists this ribosomal RNA (410 nucleotides) under uncultured eukaryote. Its description in RNAcentral is "SSU rRNA". It matches the Rfam family "Eukaryotic small subunit ribosomal RNA", at positions 567 to 990 of the family's 1831-position model. The record is from RNAcentral.